CAAAAUCUUCUCCAUCUCUGAACUCAAAAACUCAUUCACUGAGAAAAAUGGAGACCCUUCUCUCCCCUCGUGCGCUCUCUCCUCCUCUCAAUCCCAAACCUUUGUCCCUUCACCAGACCAAACCCACUUCACAUUCAUUGUCUCUCUCAAAACCCACCACCUUCUCCGGUCCUAAACACCUCUCCACCCGGUUCACUAAACCGGAAUCAAGAAACUGGUUAAU
Molecule: long non-coding RNA, 223 nt
Filed under: Arabidopsis thaliana (thale cress)
Lineage: Eukaryota; Viridiplantae; Streptophyta; Magnoliopsida; Brassicales; Brassicaceae
Description: long non-coding RNA (ATHA_LNC000590)
Source: RNAcentral